UGGGGAAUCUUGCACAAUGGGGGCAACCCUGAUGCAGCGACGCCGCGUGAGCGAUGAAGCCCUUCGGGGCGUAAAGCUCUUUCGACCGGAACGAUAAUGACGGUACCGGGAGAAGAAGCUGCGGCUAACUACGUGCCAGCAGCCGCGGUAAUACGUAGGCAGCAAGCGUUGUUCGGAGUUACUGGGCGUAAAGAGUGCGUAGGCGGUUUUCUAAGUUCGGUGUGAAAUCUCCCGGCUUAACUGGGAGGGUGCGCCGAAGACUGGGAAGCUGGAGUGUGGGAAAGGCAGGCGGAAUUCCUGGUGUAGCGGUGAAAUGCGUAGAUAUCAGGAGGAACACCGGCGGUGUAGACGGCUUGCUAGACCAAAACUGGCGCUGAGGCACGAAAGCGUGGGUAGCAAACA
This 402-nucleotide ribosomal RNA is filed under the name uncultured bacterium. RNAcentral's name for it is "bacterial SSU rRNA". It matches the Rfam family "Bacterial small subunit ribosomal RNA", at positions 355 to 774 of the family's 1533-position model. The record is from RNAcentral.